GAGGAUGUACGUCUAAUUGGUAAGGCAUCCAGUUGUAACCUGGCCGAGUUUUCUCAUUAGGGGUUCAAGUCCCUUCGUCCUCA
This is a transfer RNA of Cryptococcus amylolentus CBS 6039, 83 nucleotides long. It matches the Rfam family "tRNA". From Rfam's summary of the family: Transfer RNA (tRNA) molecules are approximately 80 nucleotides in length. Their secondary structure includes four short double-helical elements and three loops (D, anti-codon, and T loops). Lineage: Eukaryota; Fungi; Basidiomycota; Tremellomycetes; Tremellales; Cryptococcaceae. The record is from Rfam.